RNAcentral lists this transfer RNA (63 nucleotides) under Mantura chrysanthemi. RNAcentral's name for it is "tRNA-Pro". The record is from RNAcentral. Lineage: Eukaryota; Metazoa; Arthropoda; Insecta; Coleoptera; Chrysomelidae.
CAGAUAUUAGUUUAUUAAAAUUUUAAUUUUGGAGAUUAAAGAUAGAGAAGUCUCUAUAUCUGA